This 365-nucleotide ribosomal RNA is filed under the name uncultured bacterium. RNAcentral describes it as "bacterial SSU rRNA". It matches the Rfam family "Bacterial small subunit ribosomal RNA", at positions 54 to 423 of the family's 1533-position model. The record is from RNAcentral.
CAUGCAAGUCGAACGAUUUUGAUUUAUCAGAAUAGUGGCAAACGGGUGAGUAAUACGUAAGUAACCUACCUCUAAGUAUGGGAUAACCCCGGGAAACCGGAGCUAAUACCGUAUGUGAUGGUGGAGGUAAAGCUCCACCAUUAAAGCCUUUGGGCGCUUGGAGAAGGGCUUGUGUCCGAUUAGCUAGUUGGUGGAGUAACGGUUCACCAAGGCCGAGAUCGGUAGCUGGUCUGAGAGGACGGUCAGCCACACUGGGACUGAGACACGGCCCAGACUCCUACGGGAGGCAGCAGUGAGGAAUUUUGUGCAAUGGGCGAAAGCCUAGACACAGCGACGCCGAUGUGGGGGAUUGAAGGCUUUCGGGU